Non-coding RNA from Acanthosepion pharaonis, 112 nucleotides. The record is from the annotation of a GenBank genome assembly. Lineage: Eukaryota; Metazoa; Mollusca; Cephalopoda; Sepiida; Sepiidae.
UUGCGACUACAUCACAUUGAAAUACCGGUUCUCGUACGAUCACUAAAGUUAAGCAACGUCGAGACUGGUCAGUACCUAGAUGGGUGACCGCUUAGGAAUACCAGAUGCUGUA